RNAcentral lists this unclassified non-coding RNA (267 nucleotides) under uncultured fungus. Its description in RNAcentral is "sequence contains ITS2". The stretch from base 1 to 52 matches the Rfam family "5.8S ribosomal RNA", at positions 103 to 154 of the family's 154-position model. The record is from RNAcentral. Lineage: Eukaryota; Fungi.
AACGCACAUUGCGCCCUUUGGUAUUCCGAAGGGCAUGCCUGUUCGAGCGUCAUUAUCACCCCUCAAGCCCUGUGCUUGGUGUUGGACGGCUGGUCGAGCGAUCGACCCCUCCUAAAGACAAUGACGGCGGCCUGUGGUUCCCCCGGUACACUGAGCUUUUAACUGAGCACGUAUCGGACAAGGGCACCCAGGACCCGGUCCCUCUCCUUUAGCUAGGAAACUUCUAAGGUUGACCUCGGAUCAGGUAGGAAUACGCGCUGAACUUAA